Molecule: non-coding RNA, 1191 nt
Organism: Struthio camelus australis
Lineage: Eukaryota; Metazoa; Chordata; Aves; Struthioniformes; Struthionidae
Source: RefSeq, a predicted model, not a curated record
GUGAGCCACAAAUGAAUAUUUAAAGUAUGAAGAGUAACACACAGAAGUUAGAGCAAGAUCUUUGACUUGUUGUUAGUGCACAUGUUUGACAAGGUUACUGGAUGCAGUGGGAUUCACCAGGACUUGAAGAAUUGCUUGAAGAAUUGCUUUUAAACAUGAUUUUAGCCAGCGUUAAUUCCAGGAUAGAUACAGUCUCACAGCAUAUGCUUCUCUCAAACAUCAUGCAGUUCUGCUUUCUGGGAAGAAAUAAAAAAAGAAAUACCCUCCUUCUUCCUGUAUGUGAUUUGCAUUUACAGCAGACCUGAUUUUCAGAUAAGUAAAUGUUCACAAGUCCACUUAAAAUAAGAGGAGCUGCAGCAAUCAUUUCAGAACUGGAUCUUAAACCUUUCUUGGCGGUGAGGGGGAAAGUGGAAAGAGAACAGCAUAUUUGGUAUAGUUGAUGUCUGCGUAUCUCAUGUUUUGAAAGAGAACACUAUUCCUGUCUUAUUGGUAAAAUCCAAGCAAUCUUUGCUCCUACAAGGUACUGUAAAGAGACCUGCCGUUCUGGUAUGUACAUUUACCUUUUAUCUUCUCUCUCAUUGUAAGAGGCAUCCUUUUUUUUUCCAGUCAAACCCCUCAUUUAACCAUUAUUUCUUCUAAAAAUUCCUUCAGUAGAAAUUUGUGUGACGCUAUCAUCCAGCCAGCUUAAGAGACAAUUCAGAAGUAAAUGAAGAUAACGCUCUCAACUUACAACCCUUUUUCUAAUUGGGUAAAUGCCUCCAAACACACUGUGUAGCCGUUUGGUAGGGGUUUUUUUGACCUGUCUAAUCAGAGUAGUUCUUCUGUGGUGGCACACCUCUGUGGACACAGACCAGGAAUACUCCCAAUGCUUGUGCUCAGAAAAAGGCAGAAGUUGCUUCAGUGCAGGAGAACAAAAAUGCAAAGAGGAGAGGAAUAAUGCUACCUGGAGUGUUAAACAGAGAAGGGGUAGGGUCCUGCCAACCUUCGCUGUGGUUAGGAACCUAAAUAAUUUGUACCUCCCUAGGGCAGGCCAGUGACUGGACAGCAUCUAAGCCACAAGAAAUAGAAAACGUUGUGAGAAUGAAUAACAUACAGAAGGAAUUCCAUAGUUUGAAAAUCCGAUUAAUUAUAGAGAAAUUAAAAUUACAGAUCAAUCUGACCAUCUUUUAUAUGUUUAUUUUCAUUGUGAAU